UCACUUGUUUUAAGAUUUUCCACAGGCCAAACUGCACCAGCUUUUUCAUGUUAUCUUACGGUGGACUUCUCAACUCAUUUCAUACCAGAUUUGGCAAAAACACUCUCAGUUCAGCUGCUGUCUUCAAAUUGGAAUGCUGUGACAAGACACCCUGUUGCUUUUUCUGGUUUCUCCUGCACAGAGGCUGCUGUCCUGUGGGUCUUGUGAUUGUUGAUGGUUAUUGGUUUGCCUUUUCAUCCACAGCAGAGCUCAAAAUGAGCACAGCUUCCCCACAGAGCGAGUGCUAUGAGCAAUGUAGCAGUUCAUCUGCUUCAAGGUCUUCUUCCCACUACCAGAGACUACUGUGAUACAAUGACUAGAACACAGACAGAAUAUCAGCAUUUGAGAGGUGGGGUUCCAAUGUUAAGAAGAGGGCAUCUGAAAUGGAGGCUAAGUUGUGAUUUGGCUGCAAACAAUAAGAAAAAUCUGAGGAUCCUUUGUGUUGUGAAAAGCAGAGGAAUCUUGACUUUGUGGAGUGAAGACUUAAAGAAAUUAUCAAGAUGAUCUUCAUUUUCUCCUCAGUUUGACUGAACUUUAGACAGUUUUUCCUGAACACAGACUCUUUUCAUCUCUUUUCCAAGUGUAUUUUCACCAGAUAAAGCUUUUUAUAGUUCCCCGAGGACAGUCAUCAUCUUUGCUGUCUAGAUCACAAAGAUUGAAUUUUCUGAGAACAUCAGAAGACUGCCCUUGCCAUCUACACUGUAGCAAAACCUCAAGACCUUGAACCUUAGGUUCAUAAUCUCACAACUGAAAAGGUUCCUCUGCACUCUUGGAACUAUACACCUAUUGGUGUACAUCAUUUUAAAGUGAAACUAACCAGGGAAGUUUCUCCCCAGAAGAUGAUGGCAUCCUUGAUGUGAAAAGCAUUUUCCAAGAUCAAGGAUCAAGACUUCUCAACAAUCAUGAGACAUUUAUCUUGAAUAUUUUCCCCUUGUUUAUGACUCUAUGAACAAAAGAAGUGAAAAGGUGGUCUGUUGUGUGCACUUAUGGGGUACAUUUUUAUUUGUAAAGGAUUUUGCAGCCAGCCUUAUACAUGGAUAUCUUAAUUCCUUGAUAGAUGAAAGAGGAAGGUCCAAUGUAGGUGAGAAACUUCAAUGGUGCAUACAUUGCCUUAAAAUCAGUUAGAAACAGAACAUUUAUUCACUCCUUUUUUAGGUCCUUUUGUUAGGUCCUUUUUUAAUGGGUUGGAGUAAAAGAAGCAAUGAUUAGAAAUGUAUCCUUCAUGAUAGGCUUUAUAGCAGAUUCUACUGUAAAGGCUACGGUUAUAUAACAGACUUUAAAUUCUCUUGUGAAAGCUCUGCUAAAUAACAGAAUUACUCUAGAUUACUUACUGGCUAAACAAAUCUGUGUGAUACUUGUGGCCUAUGAAAAAUAUCUCAAAUGUAAAUUAUAGAUUUAUUUGUAGGUGAUUAAUAAAGAGACUACUUAGUUAAGUAAGUCUUAAAGACUCCCUUAGAGUCUUUAAGCUAGACAAAGAGCUUCAUCUUUGGCUGGGUGUGGUGGCUCAUGCCUGUAAUCCCAGCGCUUUGGUAGGCCAAGGUGGGUGGGUCUCGAGGUCAGGAUAUCAAGAGCAUCCUGCCAACAUGAUGAAACCCCAUCUCACUCUUCUAAAGUACAAAACACAAAAAACACAAAAUACUAAAAUACAAAAAUUACCCAGGUGUCGUGGUGUGUGCACCUGUAAUUCUAGCACUUGGGAGGCUGAGGCAGGGGAAUCACUUGGACUCAGGAGGCAGAGAUUACAGUGAGCUGAGGUCAUGCCAUUACACUCCAACCUGGCAACAGAGCAAGACUGUCAAAAAAAAAAAAAACUUUUUCUAGCUCAUCCUUUGAUCUAUUUGACUUUAGAUGGGUUGGUUUAUGGGGAUUCUGGAUAAGGAGCAUACUUCAAACUCUUGGCAUUAUCCUCCCAAGAGUCAGAAUAGUAGUCUACCUGUGUGCUGCAUUCUGUCAGUUUUAACUAUUUGCUUGCAGUGAUCUUUAGAAUGUCAAGUGGUCUCUCUUCAACCAGAAUGACAAGAGCUGAAGAAAUGUGUGAUCAUGAGGAUGCCAUAAUCUAUGCUGAUAAUGGAAACCCAAAAUGAUGGUAACUGAGAGUGGUGCUAAGGCCCUAAGUUUUGGUCAUACUGUCACCUACCUGCUGAAAAAGGGGGAAUUUUUGCUACAAAAUUGCAGGAGUCCAUUGUUUUUGGACUGAGCUCAUGCACUAGGCUCCAACAGACCAGCACAAACUAAAAUGAGUUGAUCAUGUUAAAUGUGACAUAAUGAAAUGAAUACUUUAAGGUAAAACAUAAGUCCUAGGACAGACAAGAAUUUACUUUCCUCCUGUAAACAGGAUACACUAGCAUAAGGAAGUACCCUUUACUCAGUCCUUGUUCCCACCUUGCAAAACCUGCUAUUGUACUGUUUCCCAGUAGUUUUAAGACUAGUGGUGAUAGUGACAUCAGUGACUAAAGUUUUGGUCAAUCUCUCAAAGGUAAAAAAAAUUACCAAAAGGGGGAAAUUGGUAAAUGAAGUUUAACCUAAAGCCACCUUCUUGCAUAACUUAGGUUCAGCCUAAAGGUUUUCUGUACAUCAUGAACUAUAACAAGUGCAAGUGUAAACAGACCAUAGCCUACACUUGUGCCAAUCACUAAGUUUUGACCAAUGAGAAGUACCCAACUGUUCCAACUCUUCAAAUAAGGCAAAUGCCAAGCUGUAACCAACCGAGCUGUUUUUGUACCUCACUCUCAUUUUCUAUAGGUCAUUUUCUUUUCCUGACCAUAAAUCUUCCAUCAUGUGGCUGCACUGGAGUCUCCGAGCCUUCUCUGGCUCAGAUGGCUGCCUGACUCGUUGAUCAUUCAUUGCUCAAUUAAACUCCUUUAAAUUUAAUUAGGCUGAAGUUUUUCUUUUAUUACUAUCAAUACCACACUCUGGAGAUUAAAAACAAGAUAAUAUUAAAAUCCAGAUUUGAUAACAAUUUUAAGUAGAAACUCCUUUUUAAACAGGACGCAUUGUUUAAAGCAGUAUGUUCUUUACUGUGGAUGUUAAGUAACCUUUUCUCUUAAAAAUGUCUCUUGGACAAAUUUAGUAUCUGAUAUAUUUUUUUCUGAGAUUGAGAUACAUUAAUUCAAAAACUUAAUCUAAUGAGAAGUAAACAAAAGAAAUAGCUAGGAAUAGAUGAUGUAUGCUGCAUGUUAAACUAUAAAAACUCAUGUGUAUCACAAUAUGAUCUUUCACUAAGAAAUAAUGAAACUGUGGACAUCAUAUAUGUAUUUAUUUUUUUUUCAGCAGACAAAAAUAAAAUUCCCAAAUAGAAUAAGCUGCUUGGUUUGGGGCAUUGUUGCUAUUUAUGCUGCAAAAUUGCUUCUUCUUAAAAUUGUAAUUGUGAAAUUCCCUAAAUGAUGUAGUAUAUUAUUAACUUUUAUAAUAGUUUUAAAAUAAGGUUCUUCAAUGGUACAACUUCUCUGAAACAAAUCAAUUUGGCCUCUAUAAUAGUCUAUGAAAAGGUUCUAUAUUCUAUAUUGCAAAAAUUCAAAGAUCAGCUGCUAACAUAAAUGAGUUCUGUAAAUCAUUCAGAAAACUUUUGCUAGUAAGAUUAACAGAGGACUGGAAAUACGCCCAUUUCGGGAUAUACAAAGAUUAGACCAAACUCUCAGUCUCAGGAAGGUGACAGUAAAACUCUGCUCAUAGUUAGAAGUUUAAAGACUACUAAUCCUGAUAUGUGAGGUGUCAUCCUAGUGAAUAAAAAGUUCCAGACUGAAUAGGACAAAGCCCAAUAAAUAACUUAGCACUUCACAUGAAGGGGCAUCAGAUGUUAGCAAAAUUAUUGAUCUUUACAGAGUUGGGUGGGUAAAGACAAACAGAAUACCUCGAGGGAAGUGACUGUGUUACGUUUUAAGGAAAGAGAGAAAAGAAUGUGUCAUAGAUAGAAAAAGGCAUAUGUAUAUAUUGCACUGUGCAUGAAAGAGAAGCUUGGAUGUGUUGCGGGAUCAUGUGUUUUAACAAGACAAGUUGGGUGAGCUUGUCUGUGAAGAUGUCUGUGCACAUCAAAUAGGAAGACUAGAAGCAUCAAUGGCCACAAUUUCAAUAAAAUAAUAAAAAUCACCAGAUCAUUAGCUGAGUUUGCCUGCUGGCUACAGAGUAGGUAGCUUCUAUUUCAUUGGAACUGAUUUAGGGAAAUCAAAGGUUUUCAAGUACUACUGUUGUACUUAAAUGUGUGCCCUUAUAAGUUUCCUUUAUAAGCACCCAUGCAAAUUACAAACAAAAGCUAUUCAAUGAGUAUUCUAAGGUAUCCAGAAUUUAAAAAAAUGUAUUCUACAAUUAAUAGAAAGUAAAUGGCACAGAUGAAUAGCCCAUCAAUCUUGGAACUUACUCCAAAUAAUGUGUAAAUUUGAAACUAUUAAAAUGCAUGAGUUAGAAGCAGAUUGUAUUUAUACAAAUAAAGAAGAUUCUGGAAAUUCAAUUAAGUUCCCUUUAAAAAAUAAAUAUAUAUUUUUCAAACUGUAACUACAAUAAAAUUCUGGUUAAUAGGAUGAACUAACCUGAUGUAGAAGGACAAGCCUACCCAUCACAUAUAUAUACACCCCCCCACCAUGUACAUAUAUGACAGGCAUAAUGUAAUCCUUUUAAAUUCUACAGUUGCCUUUUCAAAUAAAAAAAAGAUGAACCAUUUUUAGAAACUGAAAAAAAGGAAAGUAUAAGAAUAUUUGGUGAAGUGAGCCAAAGCAGAAAACAUACAAGGCUAUAAGAACCAAUAAAAACUCUUAGAGAUAGAGGUUUUAAUGAUCAAACAGAAAGAAAGAAUAAUGCCUUGUACAAUAUUGGAAACAGAUACAAUCCCUGGAUAAGUUAGGGUUCUACUGAUUAUCUCAUCUAGGAAGAGCAACCAGAGCAACUGUGCCUACAGGCGUUGGGAAGCUGCAGAAGGGUAGCUAUCUAAGCAGGGCUGGCAAGGAAGAAAUGCCAUCAAGGAGGUAUCUGAACCUCAAGCUUGACUCAUUUUGCUGAAGGGCCUAACUAAUACAAUGCUAGCCCUGCAGUCCUGAAACACUGAGCCAAGAAAUUGACAUAAAGCUGAUUCUGAACAGUUGAAACUCAGAGGGCUCUCACAAAAGCAGCUUGAAAUACAGCCUAGGUUUGGGGAAUGCUUAUAGAAAAUAAUUCUCACUGAAAAUGAAUUUACAAUCAGAAGUUAUAAAAUACAUAAGAUUAAAACUAGAGAACUGACAUGCCAUGAGCAUGAAACAAGAGGAAAAUAUGAAGUAAUUUCUUGAAAAUUCAGUGAGAUUUAAAAUCAUUCUGGCAAGCUGGUACACUCAGUGUCUGGAUAAACUAUUCCUGGACAGAACAUCUAACAAUCUGGAUAGUGUAUUUGACAUGUCUUUUUAAAUGUAUAAUUGAACUGAUAGGAGGAAGUAAGACAGAAACUUCAAGGUCAAGAAAUUAUGACAAAUGUAACCUGAAAGGUUGAGAAAGGCCUGAAACUGACAUUCACCCUGACUCAUCUGCUCAUCCAUGGUAAUGAGGAGUUUUCAUAUUAAAUAACUAAAUCACAUCAUUUAAGUACAAGAAGAGUGACUUUUUGAUGUCACAAUAAAUAUUAUAUAAUAAAAGAAAAGACAAACCUCUUAAUAAUUUUACCUUGGUGAAGAAGCAUCAGAGUUUGAUCCUGUUGAGGGAGAUUUUACAGAUUUGAGAUUCAGUUCUGCCACUUAAAAAUAGUCAAAGCAUAACAUAAUUUAAGUGUAUGGUUUAAGGAAAUGCUUACAUCUCUAAACCUAAUACUCACAUUAAUAGUAUUUUAGAGCACACCAAGAUGGCUGUUACAUAUAUACCCACUAUUCAAUAACCAACCAGGAAAACUGUUCUCAUGACUUGUAUCAUCCUAUAUUUACAUUUCCUGUUAUUUUACUUUGUAAAAAUAAAAUCUUUUUUAUCUGACUUCAAUUAACACAAUGUUUGUGAGAUGCAUCAUUAGGUGUGGCAGUGCUUUGCUCUUUUGCUCUGUAAUAUUUCACUAUAUGAUUACACCACAAUUUGUUUGUACUAUCCGCUCCUUAAGUAUAUUUGGGUUGCUGCCACUUUUUGACAAUUAAAAACAGGGCUGCUAUAAAAAUUCUUGCACAUGUAGCUCAGUGAAUGAGUGUGCACAUUUUAUUAGUUAUAUGCCUAAGAAUUAAAUGGACAUGUCAUAGGGUAUAAUAUAUUAAGCUUUAGCAGACACUGAUAAAUAAUAUUUCAAAAUCAUUUCUUCUCAUCAGCAGUGUAUGGAGUUCCAGUUUCUCCACACCUUGGCCAAUAUUUGAUAAUGUAAGGCUCUUUAAUUUUACCGUUCUAGUGGGUAUGAAGUGCAUUGUGGUUUUAACUUUUCCUAAUGAAGGAUAUAGUACAACACAUUUCAAAUUCUUAUUGACCAUUUGUAUAUUCUCUUUUGGGAACAACCUUAUUAAAAUGUUUUAACUGGUUUUUCUUUUUUCCUCCUUAGUGUCUGAUUUAUUGAUUGCAUUGUAGAAGGAAAUUACAUAUUUUGGAUACAAAUUUUUUUGGUUACAUGUAUAAAUUUUCUUCCACUCAUGAAUGGCAUUUUUACAUUCUUCAUGGAAUAUUUUGAUAAACAGAAGUAUUUUAUUCUAAUGAAGUUCAUACUUAUUAAUAUUUUCUUUAUAGUUAGGGCUUUCUUUGCCUAUUUAAGAAAAAGUUUAUGGUGUAACAAGAUAAAAGCUGAAUACGUUACAAAAACUACGAUGCUUUAUUUUUUAAACCCAUCAGAGAACUUACAAUGAAUAGAAAUCUAGAUGAAUUAUAUUUCAAUGAGGCAGGAGCCUGUCCUUGGAGAGAAGAAACCACAGUUGCUUUUAUUUUUCCACAUACAGUUAAAAGAGAGUGAACCUGUCAUAGAGUAGCUUAAGAGAAACCCAGAAUAACUUUUAAAGAUUUGUAAUGGCUGUGUAUGCUCUGGCGUAACUAAUAGUUUUUCAAUGAAUCUCAGUAUCUGCCUUUCCUCCGGUUGUUUCACACAAAGCCUUAGCUGAGUGCAUUUUAGUAGUGCAUUUUAUAAUGUGAAAAGAACAAUGUGACUGACAGAGUACUCCUCAGAAGCAUGGGACCUUCAGUUACUCAGCCGACUAAAAACAGAACAUAGGAAAUGAAAAAGUAUUCUCUCAGGUACACAAGGUUAGUUAGUACAUGGAAGUAGUGACCUCAAGAUUGCAGGCAGGGCAAGAGGGUUGGAGAAAAUCCUCUAGAUAACAGAGCCUUCACUGAGCAUGUUGUCACCACACUGUUGCUGAAGGACAGGAGCAGGUAAAAGGGUUAUGAAAGAUUCCCUAGAGGCACAGAAGAGUUUCACCAAAUGCAUACAAAUGCAUGGAGGCUGAUAGGAGGGUAGGGCAGUGAAGAGAAAGUUCUACAUUGCACGGCAGAUCUUUAUUUAGUUCAAAGUAGCGGCUCUCUGUGGGCUAGGAUUAAUGCAGUAGGGUGGAGAAAGACCCCUCAAAGGUGAAAAGCCAAGGGCAGGGCUGAAAAGAAAAGAGAACUUCAUAGUCAUUUGGAAGUCUGGAUAUCAGACUAUAAGGCAGAAGUAGAUCUCCCACAGUUCAGAAAUUUACCUAUUGAACUGUAAAGCAAAGAGAUUUCUGGAGUGUGACCAAGACUCAGAUCCCAAGCAAUUCUGAAAUAAAUAUUCCUAUCUCAAAGGCAAAAAUUUUAAGCAAGUGGUAAAAUGAGGGUCCUGUCAGACAUGCAUGUAACUAAAUCUGCAACAAAGCCUGAAACCAACUUAACCAUAAAUUAUAUUGAUUCUUUCCACCACCCUUAUAGCAGUCUGAUAGCUGAAGAAAUAUUUCCUUUUUAGGGUGCAAACGUUAUUUAUUUUAAUACUUAUAUUUCUUAAACAUGUAAUGUUAAUAUGUGGUAAAAAAUAUAAGAUAUGUAGUAAAGCAAGAGCUAAUGAGCCAUAAGCAAUGGCAGUAAAACAAUGAAUCAUAGCUGAUCCAUGUUUAUCUCAUUUAUUAGAAUUAGAAAACCUAGACUUUAAAAUAACUAUGGUUAAUAUGUUAAAUUGAUCUAGUAGAAAGGUAGACAAAUUGCAUUAACAAAUUGGGAAUUUUAACAGAAAAACAUAAAGUAAGAAAAUAAUCAAAUUAACAUAAGAGAAAAAGAGUAUUAACAAUGAAAAAUGUAUUGUAUGGACUUAACAACAAAUCAAACACAGUGAGAGAACAUGAACACAGGUCAAAAUAAGUUACCAAAACUAAAGGUCAAAGAGAAAAUAUCUAUAUCUAUAUGUAUGUAUGUAUGUAUGUAUGUAUCUAUCCAUCUAUCAUCCAUCUAUCUACAUAAUGUCAAAUGUUCUAGGUAGAUAACAAUAUGAGUUAAUAUCAAAUGUUCUAAUAUAUUUGUAACUGAAUUUCUAGAAAUAGGUAAAGAAUAGGAGGAGUGGGAAGAAAUUUUUGAAGAGAUAUUGGCUGAAAAGUUUUCAGAAUUAAUGACAGAUGGAAAUCGACAGCAUAAGGAGCUUAGUAAACUGCAAGCAAGGUUAAACACAUAAACACACACACACACACACACACACACACACCCCUAAACUCCUCAUUAUAACCAAACAUCUGCAAACUAAAGAUAAGAAAAAAAGGUCUUAAAAGUGGCCAGAGGAAAAUUACAAUUACAUUCAUGUAACAACCACAAUCACAACAUGUGGGGAUUCACUCAGGGUGGUGGCAAAAAUAUUAAGGAAAAAGUAUUACAGACAGAUAUAAAAUAUAUUCUUAAACCCUUUUGGGAAGCCUAAGGGUUUUUUCUAUAGUUCUUGGCUGAAGACAGCCCAAAGUUUCUUUGCAGGAGCCAGACAGAUUAGGGCACAAAUACAAAGGAAUUUGAGUAGCUUACCUAGCUAGCUUUUGUACUCAUGUGGUCUUAAAACUAAACUUUGACCUGGAUGGCCCUGUUGAGGAGGGUAUCGACCAAGGAGAUUACCCUCUACUGGUUGUUUGCUUUGGGCAUGGGAACCUGUCCUUUAAUCUUCAAUCUCUAGUGGUUUGACUCAGGCCUUUGUCAAUUAAACUUUACUAAAUAAAUGCCAGUCUCACUGGCUGGUGGUGGCCUCUAGUCACAACUGUUUACAACACUCUCCAGGGUGACUGUAAGCCACGCUGACACACUCAGUCAAACUGGAGAAGCAUAAUAUCUGUGUGUCAAUGUACUUCAUUUAUCCAUUGCUGAGUCAAGGUCUACAAGACAGACACCCAUAGAUGGUGACCCCAACAGUGAUGCCCAACAUGGGGUGAUCCCAACAACAAAAUAUGACUGACAAUGAAGGCUGGAAGAUAGGUAGCACCUUUAAAGUCACCUUAAAGUCACUCAAGAAAGAAAUUAACUCAGAAUUUUAUACUAAAUUAUCCUAUUAUGAAGGUAAACUAAAAAUAUUUUCAAAAGCAAAGGCUGAAAAAUUUGAGCAAUAGCUUUGAACUUUAAAAUGCAUUAUAAAAAUGAUUUUUCAAGCUUAAGUAAAAAUAUUUAUUUCCUUUAAGACCAUUGACUGUUUAAAGCAAAUAUAAUAAAUGUGUAUUGUGGAAUUAAAUUUAUGAUAAGAGCAAAAAUGUUUGGUGAUGAAAUAAAUAAAAUUACUUAUUUGUGAAUAUUAUUAUAAUAUGAUAUAAUAUAAUAUUUAAUGUUAUUCUGUUAUGUAUUAUUCUAAUGAUAUUCCUGUGCAGUUUUGACGUUAAGCUUGUGAGAUUCUCAUAAAAACAUUGAGACUGUAAGACUUCUUUUUCUUUUAUUGGGAACAGUUUGUAUGAUUGAAAUAUUUUUUUCUUCCUUAAAUAUUUGGAAAAAUGUAUUGUGAGUUUAACUCUGCUAGGAGAUUUAAUUGUGUCAAAGAUUUUA
Long non-coding RNA from Callithrix jacchus (white-tufted-ear marmoset), 9903 nucleotides. RefSeq lists it as uncharacterized. Lineage: Eukaryota; Metazoa; Chordata; Mammalia; Primates; Cebidae. The record is from RefSeq and is a predicted model, not a curated record.